GGGCGCACGGUGGAUGCCUUGACACUAGGAGUCGAUGAAGGACGGGACUAACGCCGAUAUGCUUCGGGGAGCUGUAAGUAAGCUUUGAUCCGAAGAUUUCCGAAUGGGGAAACCCACCAUACGUAAUGGUAUGGUAUCCUUAUCUGAAUACAUAGGGUAAGGAAGACAGACCCAGGGAACUGAAACAUCUAAGUACCUGGAGGAAGAGAAAGCAAAUGCGAUUUCCUGAGUAGCGGCGAGCGAAACGGAACAUAGCCCAAACCAAGAGGCUUGCCUCUUGGGGUUGUAGGACAUUCUAUACGGAGUUACAAAGGAACGAGGUAGACGAAGCGACCUGGAAAGGUCCGUCGUAGAGGGUAACAACCCCGUAGUCGAAACUUCGUUCUCUCUUGAAUGUAUCCUGAGUACGGCGGAACACGUGAAAUUCCGUCGGAAUCUGGGAGGACCAUCUCCCAAGGCUAAAUACUCCCUAGUGAUCGAUAGUGAACCAGUACCGUGAGGGAAAGGUGAAAAGCACCCCGGAAGGGGAGUGAAAGAGAUCCUGAAACCGUGUGCCUACAAAUAGUCAGAGCCCGUUAAUGGGUGAUGGUGUGCCUUUUGUAGAAUGAACCGGCGAGUUACGAUCCCGUGCGAGGUUAAGCUGAAGAGGCGGAGCCGCAGCGAAAGCGAGUCUGAAUAGGGCGUUUAGUACGUGGUCGUAGACCCGAAACCAGGUGAUCUACCCAUGUCCAGGGUGAAGUUCAGGUAACACUGAAUGGAGGCCCGAACCCACGCACGUUGAAAAGUGCGGGGAUGAGGUGUGGGUAGCGGAGAAAUUCCAAUCGAACCUGGAGAUAGCUGGUUCUCCCCGAAAUAGCUUUAGGGCUAGCCUUAAGUGUAAGAGUCUUGGAGGUAGAGCACUGAUUGGACUAGGGGUCCUCAUCGGAUUACCGAAUUCAGUCAAACUCCGAAUGCCAAUGACUUAUCCUUAGGAGUCAGACUGCGAGUGAUAAGAUCCGUAGUCAAAAGGGAAACAGCCCAGACCGCCAGCUAAGGUCCCAAAGUGUGUAUUAAGUGGAAAAGGAUGUGGAGUUGCUUAGACAACUAGGAUGUUGGCUUAGAAGCAGCCACCAUUUAAAGAGUGCGUAAUAGCUCACUAGUCGAGUGACUCUGCGCCGAAAAUGUACCGGGGCUAAAUACACCACCGAAGCUGCGGAUUGAUACCAAUGGUAUCAGUGGUAGGGGAGCGUUCUAAGGACAGUGAAGUCAGACCGGAAGGACUGGUGGAGUGCUUAGAAGUGAGAAUGCCGGUAUGAGUAGCGAAAGACGGGUGAGAAUCCCGUCCACCGAAUGCCUAAGGUUUCCUGAGGAAGGCUCGUCCGCUCAGGGUUAGUCAGGACCUAAGCCGAGGCCGACAGGCGUAGGCGAUGGACAACAGGUUGAUAUUCCUGUACCACCUCUUUAUCGUUUGAGCAAUGGAGGGACGCAGAAGGAUAGAAGAAGCGUGCGAUUGGUUGUGCACGUCCAAGCAGUUAGGCUGAUAAGUAGGCAAAUCCGCUUAUCGUGAAGGCUGAGCUGUGAUGGGGAAGCUCCUUAUGGAGCGAAGUCUUUGAUUCCCCGCUGCCAAGAAAAGCUUCUAGCGAGAUAAAAGGUGCCUGUACCGCAAACCGACACAGGUAGGCGAGGAGAGAAUCCUAAGGUGUGCGAGAGAACUCUGGUUAAGGAACUCGGCAAAAUGACCCCGUAACUUCGGGAGAAGGGGUGCUUUCUUAACGGAAAGCCGCAGUGAAUAGGCCCAAGCGACUGUUUAGCAAAAACACAGCUCUCUGCGAAGCCGUAAGGCGAAGUAUAGGGGGUGACACCUGCCCGGUGCUGGAAGGUUAAGGAGAGGGGUUAGCGUAAGCGAAGCUCUGAACUGAAGCCCCAGUAAACGGCGGCCGUAACUAUAACGGUCCUAAGGUAGCGAAAUUCCUUGUCGGGUAAGUUCCGACCCGCACGAAAGGUGUAACGAUUUGGGCACUGUCUCAACCAGAGACUCGGUGAAAUUAUAGUACCUGUGAAGAUGCAGGUUACCCGCGACAGGACGGAAAGACCCCGUGGAGCUUUACUGUAGCCUGAUAUUGAAUUUUGGUACAGUUUGUACAGGAUAGGCGGGAGCCUUUGAAACCGGAGCGCUAGCUUCGGUGGAGGCGCUGGUGGGAUACCGCCCUGACUGUAUUGAAAUUCUAACCUACGGGUCUUAUCGACCCGGGAGACAGUGUCAGGUGGGCAGUUUGACUGGGGCGGUCGCCUCCUAAAGUGUAACGGAGGCGCCCAAAGGUUCCCUCAGAAUGGUUGGAAAUCAUUCGUAGAGUGCAAAGGCAUAAGGGAGCUUGACUGCGAGACCUACAAGUCGAGCAGGGACGAAAGUCGGGCUUAGUGAUCCGGUGGUUCCGCAUGGAAGGGCCAUCGCUCAACGGAUAAAAGCUACCCCGGGGAUAACAGGCUUAUCUCCCCCAAGAGUCCACAUCGACGGGGAGGUUUGGCACCUCGAUGUCGGCUCAUCGCAUCCUGGGGCUGUAGUCGGUCCCAAGGGUUGGGCUGUUCGCCCAUUAAAGCGGUACGCGAGCUGGGUUCAGAACGUCGUGAGACAGUUCGGUCCCUAUCCGUCGUGGGCGUAGGAAAUUUGAGAGGAGCUGUCCUUAGUACGAGAGGACCGGGAUGGACGCACCGCUGGUGUACCAGUUGUUCUGCCAAGGGCAUAGCUGGGUAGCUAUGUGCGGAAGGGAUAAGUGCUGAAAGCAUCUAAGCAUGAAGCCCCCCUCAAGAUGAGAUUUCCCAUAGCGUAAGCUAGUAAGAUCCCUGAAAGAUGAUCAGGUUGAUAGGUUCGAGGUGGAAGCAUGGUGACAUGUGGAGCUGACGAAUACUAAUAGAUCGAGGACUUAACCAU
This 2908-nucleotide ribosomal RNA is filed under the name Bacillus anthracis str. 'Ames Ancestor'. RNAcentral describes it as "bacterial LSU rRNA". It matches the Rfam family "Bacterial large subunit ribosomal RNA". Lineage: Bacteria; Bacillati; Bacillota; Bacilli; Caryophanales; Bacillaceae. RNAcentral also lists the same sequence under 3 other names. The record is from RNAcentral.